Molecule: ribosomal RNA, 497 nt
Filed under: uncultured bacterium
Lineage: Bacteria
Description: partial 16S ribosomal RNA
Rfam family: Bacterial small subunit ribosomal RNA
Source: RNAcentral
GAUGAACGCUGGCGGCGUGCCUAAUACAUGCAAGUCGAGCGAACAGACGAGGAGCUUGCUCCUCUGACGUUAGCGGCGGACGGGUGAGUAACACGUGGAUAACCUACCUAUAAGACUGGGAUAACUUCGGGAAACCGGAGCUAAUACCGGAUACUAUAUUGAACCGCAUGGUUCAAUAGUGAAAGACGGUUUUGCUGUCACUUAUAGAUGGAUCCGCGCCGCAUUAGCUAGUUGGUAAGGUAACGGCUUACCAAGGCAACGAUGCGUAGCCGACCUGAGAGGGUGAUCGGCCACACUGGAACUGAGACACGGUCCAGACUCCUACGGGAGGCAGCAGUAGGGAAUCUUCCGCAAUGGGCGAAAGCCUGACGGAGCAACGCCGCGUGAGUGAUGAAGGUCAUCGGAUCGUAAAACUCUGUUAUUAGGGAAGAACAAAUGUGUAAGUAACUAUGCACGUCUUGACGGUACCUAAUCAGAAAGCCACGGCUAACUACGUG